GUUAACCCUUAAAACCAUUAACUCAUUAACUUAAAUGAGUUAUGGAUUGACCCAACCCAUUUGUCAAAUGGAUUGGUUAAAACCAUAACCCAUAUAAGCUUAAAACCAUUUGGAUAUUGUU
Molecule: microRNA precursor, 121 nt
Filed under: Brassica oleracea var. oleracea
Lineage: Eukaryota; Viridiplantae; Streptophyta; Magnoliopsida; Brassicales; Brassicaceae
Description: pre miRNA MIR405
Source: RNAcentral